GAUGAACACUGGCGGCGUGCCUAAUACAUGCAAGUCGAGCGAACAGACGAGGAGCUUGCUCCUCUGACGUUAGCGGCGGACGGGUGAGUAACACGUGGAUAACCUACCUAUAAGACUGGGAUAACUUCGGGAAACCGGAGCUAAUACCGGAUAAUAUAUUGAACCGCAUGGUUCAAUAGUGAAAGACGGUUUUGCUGUCACUUAUAGAUGGAUCCGCGCCGCAUUAGCUAGUUGGUAAGGUAACGGCUUACCAAGGCAACGAUGCGUAGCCGACCUGAGAGGGUGAUCGGCCACACUGGAACUGAGACACGGUCCAGACUCCUACGGGAGGCAGCAGUAGGGAAUCUUCCGCAAUGGGCGAAAGCCUGACGGAGCAACGCCGCGUGGGUGAUGAAGGUCUUCGGAUCGUAAAACUCUGUUAUUAGGGAAGAACAAAUGUGUAAGUAACUAUGCACGUCUUGACGGUACCUAAUCAGAAAGCCACGGCUAACUACGUG
RNAcentral lists this ribosomal RNA (497 nucleotides) under uncultured bacterium. RNAcentral's name for it is "partial 16S ribosomal RNA". It matches the Rfam family "Bacterial small subunit ribosomal RNA", at positions 28 to 507 of the family's 1533-position model. The record is from RNAcentral.